GCGGGAAACAGUUCAAUCGCAAUGGCUUGAGCCGGGUAAAAGUCGUAACAAGGUAUCUGUAGGUGAACCUGCAGAUGGAUCAUCG
This 85-nucleotide ribosomal RNA is filed under the name Trichostrongylus colubriformis. RNAcentral's name for it is "partial 18S ribosomal RNA". It matches the Rfam family "Eukaryotic small subunit ribosomal RNA", at positions 1747 to 1831 of the family's 1831-position model. Lineage: Eukaryota; Metazoa; Nematoda; Chromadorea; Rhabditida; Trichostrongylidae. The record is from RNAcentral.